Molecule: long non-coding RNA, 153 nt
Organism: Octopus sinensis (East Asian common octopus)
Lineage: Eukaryota; Metazoa; Mollusca; Cephalopoda; Octopoda; Octopodidae
Exons: 4
Source: RefSeq, a predicted model, not a curated record
GGAAGGAGUGAGAGAAGGUUGUGGCGAAAGAGAACAAUAGGGGUCGCCACUAACCCAUGCCGAAGCCUCGUGGAGCUUUAGGUGUUUUCGCUCACAAACACACACAGCGCCCUGUCUGAGAAUCGAAACCGCGAUACUCCGACCGCGAGUCCG